UGGGGAAUUUUGGACAAUGGGGGCAACCCUGAUCCAGCGAUGCCGCGUGAGUGAAGAAGGCCUGCGGGUUGUAAAGCUCUUUCAGUGGGGAGGAAGGUAAUGAGGUUAAUAACCUUGUUAAUUGACGUUACCCGCAAAAGAAGCACCGGCUAACUCUGUGCCAGCAGCCGCGGUAAUACAGAGGGUGCGAGCGUUAAUCGGAAUUACUGGGCGUAAAGGGCGUGUAGGUGGUUUAGUAAGUUUGAUGUGAAAGCCCCGGGCUUAACCUGGGAACUGCGUUGAAAACUGCUGGACUAGAGUUGGACAGAGGGUGGUGGAAUUUCCGGUGUAGCGGUGAAAUGCGUAGAGAUCGGAAAGAACAUCCGUGGCGAAGGCGGCCACCUGGGUCCAAACUGACACUGAGGCGCGAAAGCGUGGGGAGCAAACAGG
This 429-nucleotide ribosomal RNA is filed under the name uncultured bacterium. RNAcentral describes it as "bacterial SSU rRNA". It matches the Rfam family "Bacterial small subunit ribosomal RNA", at positions 355 to 776 of the family's 1533-position model. The record is from RNAcentral.